GACGAACGCUGGCGGCGUGCCUAAUACAUGCAAGUGGGACGCAAGGGAACACACUGUGCUUGCACACCGUGUUUUCUUGAGUCGCGAACGGGUGAGUAACGCGUAGGUAACCUGCCUAUUAGCGGGGGAUAACUAUUGGAAACGAUAGCUAAUACCGCAUAAUAUUAAUUAUUGCAUGAUAAUUGAUUGAAAGAUGCAAGCGCAUCACUAGUAGAUGGACCUGCGUUGUAUUAGCUAGUUGGUAAGGUAAGAGCUUACCAAGGCGACGAUACAUAGCCGACCUGAGAGGGUGAUCGGCCACACUGGGACUGAGACACGGCCCAGACUCCUACGGGAGGCAGCAGUAGGGAAUCUUCGGCAAUGGACGAAAGUCUGACCGAGCAACGCCGCGUGAGUGAAGAAGGUUUUCGGAUCGUAAAGCUCUGUUGUAAGUCAAGAACGUGUGUGAGAGUGGAAAGUCACACAGGACGUAGCUACCAGAAGAC
RNAcentral lists this ribosomal RNA (485 nucleotides) under Streptococcus mutans. Its description in RNAcentral is "bacterial SSU rRNA". It matches the Rfam family "Bacterial small subunit ribosomal RNA", at positions 28 to 491 of the family's 1533-position model. The record is from RNAcentral. Lineage: Bacteria; Bacillati; Bacillota; Bacilli; Lactobacillales; Streptococcaceae.